RNAcentral lists this long non-coding RNA (987 nucleotides) under Manihot esculenta (cassava). RNAcentral describes it as "long non-coding RNA (MESC_LNC008930)". The record is from RNAcentral. Lineage: Eukaryota; Viridiplantae; Streptophyta; Magnoliopsida; Malpighiales; Euphorbiaceae.
GAGUUGAGAAUAUAGGUGUCAUUAUAUACUUAAACGGUAUUUUAAAUUAUUAAAAAAUAGUUAAUAAUUUAUUUUAUCGGUUAAUCUUUAUAUAAUUUGAUUGUUAAAGUUGAUUGUUUUGUUUUUUAUUUUUUGCUUUUUCUUGUAUUAAAAAAAUCUGAAGUUUAAUAAAUUUCCCAUAUUUAAUACAUUGACUUUGUUUUAACGAGAAUUAAAGAGUAAAUCUUUACGAAAUAUAUUUUCAAUUAUUAUAGUAUACCAGAUUAUGCAAAAUCUCUAUAAGUAAAUAAAUGAUUGUUUGAUCUAAAAAUUUUAAAUCGUUAUUAUUAUUAUUAUGCUAGUACAAGUAAAACAAGAGAAAUUUUAUUUUAUUUUUUAACAUAAUCAAGGAGAGAAGGUAAUUAAAGAGAAAAAGAUAAAUAAUUAAAUGAGAUAAUUGUCUUUUUAAUUAACCAUUAAUCAAGGGUCAAUUUGAUUAAAGGUACAAUUAGAGAAUUCCGAAUAAAACUUAGGUAACAAAACUCAAAUUAAUUCAGCUAAACAAACCCAAAGAGAAAAUCAAACAAAAGCAUCAAUAAAAUCAAUCCAUCCCUAAUCUUAGAAACCCUAAAGCAGAAAAUCCCUUACCUCUACCACUUUUAAAGACUAGAUCUAGAGUCAGAAUCCAUAAAACACACAGAAAAUCAACCAAAGCCAAGAAAUAUAGCUUCCAGACAUGGAAGCCCAAUCUUCAGGAUGGACAAGAUUAUAACUACUCUCAUGUUCUAAAGGUAGAUUGGUCACUGUGUUCAGUGAUAGCCACUUGAGAUUCGACGGUUGUAGGUCUGAUCGAACCACCCAAAGCCAUCACACGGAGACUCAAAACAUGAACCUUUUCUUUUCUUAUCUAGAAAGCAAGAGAAAUCAGCGAAUAUCUUAAAUUUUCUCAAAUGUUUCUCUCUUCUUUGAAGUCUUGCUAAGAUAAUCUUAUUUAUUAUUGAGUGAUUA